This is a non-coding RNA of Amyelois transitella, 73 nucleotides long. The record is from the annotation of a RefSeq genome assembly. NCBI's taxonomy places the organism in Eukaryota, Metazoa, Arthropoda, Insecta, Lepidoptera, Pyralidae.
GUUUCCGUAGUGUAGUGGUUAUCACGUGUGCUUCACACGCACAAGGACCCCGGUUCGAUCCCGGGCGGAAACA